UUGAGGUUUGUAGCCCUAGGUUUGUUCAAUGACUAUGUCUGUCUCUCUCUCAACUCUCUCUCUCUCUCUCUCUCACACACACACACUUGAACGGAGGAGACGAGAAACAAUCGGCGUCGGUGACAAUGGUGGCUAUCGACGAUCGGCGAUCGGCGACAGUGGUGGUGGCGAGCAGCGAUCGAAGCGUCGAUUCGAAGUAAUUAGGGCUUCAGCUUCUUCCCUUCUCUUCUCUUCUCUUCUUGUCUUUGUAGAGAUUUGCUUAUUUUUUCAGGGCUUCGACUGUGUUCUGAUAGGGCUUCAACUGUGUUCUGCUAAUUACUUAGGGCUUUCACUGUGUCAAAUUAAUCAUGUUUCAGGUUGCCUUGUUUCUGAGUAUUUAAUCAUGUUUAAGGUUGCCUUAUUUCUGAGUAUUAAAUUAAUCAUGUGUUAAAUUAAGUUACAGAUAUGCUUAUUUCUUGUGUCUGAGUAUUUGAUCAAUGACAGCCCAAAUUGAUGACCUAGACUCCAUGGUUAAGAUUGCCUUGUGAGCAACCUUUUAUGUCUCUCAGUUCAUCACAUGUUGAAAUUGUGUGCAUUAAUGUGUUAUACCUUGAAUGGAACUUAAUUUUGUUUGUUAAGGGUUUGUUAGUUUAUUUGUUUGUUUUGGAAAAAGAUAAGAACUUUAUUGAAAUAUAUAAGAAGUAUGCAGAGCAGUGGCUUUCUUCUCUUCCAUAUCGCUGAAGCAUACUGAUUGGUUACUGUACUAGUUCUGAGGCAAAUAUUUGAAUAGAGUAUGUUAUGAUAUAGAUUAAAUAUUUAGAAGGGGAAGAAAAAUAGUUAAAAUUUACCGACAAAAAAAAGAAAAGAGAAAAGGAAAUUAAAACAAAGAAAGGUGCCUUCUUUCUCUGCAAUCUGGCAAAAUUGUGGGUAAUGCUGUUAAUUGCUCCUUGGAGUACUAAUGACGGGGAAGAAGACAUGUAUCUUGAAGUUUUCAGCUCAUUAUGUUAGGUUCUUCAGGUUGUCAGGGUUAGGCUUGUGUCAAACCGUGACGUGAUCAGGCUGCUUUACAUGUAAAAUGCAGAUUCUUUAUUGUAAAUACUGCUUCUGUGAAUAUGUGAAGCAUGUUUGUGCUUCUUACUUCUAGCUGCUGUAAAUAAUUCUCUGCUUCUCUCAAGUUAUGAAAUCAAAGGCCAACCAGUUUAUUUCGUG
Non-coding RNA from Camellia sinensis, 1188 nucleotides. NCBI's taxonomy places the organism in Eukaryota, Viridiplantae, Streptophyta, Magnoliopsida, Ericales, Theaceae. The record is from RefSeq and is a predicted model, not a curated record.